UAGAAAAUAAGAAUAGGUUCUUAGAAUCAAAAUUGCAGCCCCAUAUCAUGGCCAAUGCCCAUAUAUGUAGGGAUCACUUACUGCGGUCUACUCAAAUAGACUCUGUUAAAGUAAUGGCUGUUAUGUAUACCGAGGACAGUGAAUGGUCAGGAGAUAUCUGGCUUGAUCCCAGUCCUUCUCGCGAUGAUGAUUCGAAUGACAUGGGAGAAGGAAAUAACAUGAAAGUAGUUGCUCCCAUGAUAAAAAUGGAGCAAACACCAGAUGCACCCCCUCAGACAACUGCGUGAGGUUUUACUUCCUUGGAGUUAACUCAUCUCCAAACUAAGUUUUCAGCUAAAACUGGAGAUACACCCUUAGAAUGGAUGGCCUGUAUAUGGGGAAAAGGAGCAAAUCAUGUUACCCUCACCAUGGAUGACGCUCAAAGCUUUGUAUUAGGACUGGGAAUUCUCCUACAAACCCCUACACCGCAGCAAGCUGACUUGCUGUGGGGCUGCACUGUGUGCCGGGCCAGGGGCGGCUCCCUGCCAGCGAGAGGGGUGGGAAGAGUAAAUGGUUGUGGGAGAGCGCUCAGGAGUUACAAACUGCUAUGCUAAAAUCUGCUAUCUCAGACAUGCUGGAUAGACCAGAGCCUGUAGAUCAGAACAGGCAACCCCCAAAUAUUAACCCUUGGCAAUCCCAUGCCACUCAGGGGGAUAUACAUCCUGUAGUUAAAAGAGCAACUACAGCACUUAAACCGCUUGCUCUUUCUACAAUGACAGGAUUAAAUGCAGAUACUCAGUGGCAGAUGGUUCUGCAGCAGAUGCUGUCUGCUUUACCCUUAUAUGAAAUGUCAGGCUCUAAGGUAAAGAUUAGGACCAUACAAACGGUUAAACCCAGCCACAACACCGCUCACCCUCAAUUCCAAUCAAGAAAUAAAGGCAAAGAUUCUCCAGACGGCCUGUCUAAGGAAUGCAGUCAGUGGUGUCUAGCGAAAAUGCUUAGAUAAAGGGUUAACAAGGCGGCAACUGCAUGGUCUUCCAACUGCAGUGCUAAAACAAUUAGCUGUGCUGGAGUUCCUCCUGCUAUCAGACCCAGUUAAUGAACAAAGCGAUUCAAAUGAAUAGGGGAGCCGGCUCGGUUGUGCUGUCCGGGUCGUGGCUGCCAAGGCAGCUACAGGGAACCAGAGUCCGGAAAUGUUGGUCGCUGUAAAUGAUAAGUAUACCACAACAUUUUUGAUACAGGAGCGCAGGUUUUAAUGAUAGAUCAGGGUACCUAUGAAGGUAAAGCUCCUUUAGAGAAACAAGCAGUUUCAGUAGUAGGCGUUAAUGGUGCAAUUAACACCUAUCCAGUUGUACGGGCUAAAUUAAUAUUGUUCAAUGGACGUACCAUAUGACCCUUGUUGUUAUUGGGCAAAAUGAAUAUUCUGGGAAUGGAUAAUCUGAAAGGAGAGUCUUGGAUAGAUAGCUGGGGUAAAUGGGAAAUUGGUAGUCCUCCAGUUACAGGAAAAACUAAUCUCCAUAUGAUUAAGCCUAUGAAUCUCCUACAAAUAGCCCCACACUUGCCUAACAGCAAACCAGUUAACAUUCCUCAGUAUAAGCUACCUGCCUCUGCCAUAAAACCUGUGACAGAAUUAGUCAAACAAUUAGAGCAACGAGGUAUUAUCGGGGAAAAAAAAAACAUUCACCAUAUAACAGCCUGAUAUGGCUUGUUAAAAAACCAGACGGGACAUGGCGCCUGACUAUUGACUAUAGGGCUUUAAAUAAAGCAACUGGCCCUUUAACAGCUGCUGUUCCUAGCAUAGUAGAUAUAGUUAAUACAAUAAAUGAAUGUGCUUUUCUGCAGAUAGGAGUGUUAUAUAUAAAAGAUAUGUUCUUUAUGAUCCCAAUACAAGAGCAAGACAAACCAAAGUUUGCUUUUACUUGAGGUGGAAUACAAUACACCUUUAAUUGCCUACCCCAAAGUUUUAAACAUAGCCUCACCAUUGCCCAUGCUAUUUUAGCUAAAGAAUUAGAAUCAGUCAUCCUCCCACCUGAAGUAACGAUUUUACAAUAUAUAGAUGAUAUUCUAAUUGGAGGACCAGAUGAGAAAAUGGUCUGCCAAAGUAUGGACACUAUUGUCCAGCACCUACAAGAAUUAAAUAUUAGCAUUCCUGACUCAAAACAGCAAGGACCAAGUCAAGAGGUUAUAUUUUUAGGUAUUCAAUGGAUAGGAGGAUGGAAGACUGCCAGAAUCUGUAUUAACAGAGAUACAAAAUAUUCCGGCACCUUCUGAUAAAAAGGAAUUGUGGACUUUAUUAGGACCUUUAGGGUUUUGGAGGUCACACAUUCCUGGAUUCAGUAUUCUGGCGAGACCUCUGUAUGAUUUGCUGAAUAAAAAUGCGGUAUGGAACUGGGAAUGAAAACAUCACGAAGCAUUAAAUGCUUUAAAAGAUGAAGUUGUUACUUACUAGUCUAUGGGGCUGAUCCACCCUACACACCCAUUUAUGCUGCCUAUAGGCAUAGGUGAUAGGGGAUAUCAAUGGGGACUAUGGCAACAAGAUGUGCAAGGCAAAGAGGAUUCCCCUAUUACCUUUGGCUCUAAAUCAUGGCAAGGCUCUCAAUGGAUCUACACUCCCUUUGAGAAAGCGCUAUUAGCGUCAUAUGAAGGGCUGUUAACUACCAAGCCAUUAACUCAAGAAAGGGAAAUCAAAUUGUGUGUGCCUAUUCCUAUUUUAAAACAAAUUUUAACUGGUAGACCUUUACCCCUAGGGGUAGCACAAAAGACUACAGCGCAGCGAUGGGCUUUGUAUAUACAUCAUCGGGUGACAAGUGAUGGGAUGAAUAAAGAAAACAGAUUAUCCGAGAGUGUAGAGUGAAUUGGGAUGCCUGUGGAGUACUCCCAUCCGCCCUCCUCCCCUAUAACUGACGCCCCUCCCUGGGACAGCGAGACCAAAGCAGGGGUCUGGUUCACAAACGGGAGUGCCCGGCGCAUGGGGAAACAAUGGAGAGGCAAAGCUGUAGCUCUAUCGGUAGAGACCAAAAAAGCUUUCACAGAGGAAAUGGAUGGCUUGGCCCAGCUAGAAGAGCUCAGAGCAGUGGAAAUAGCCCUGGAGCAAGGAGCCACUUGUGUCUAUACAGACUCAUAUGCUGUAUGGGCCGGUGCCACCCAAUGGCUAGGGAAGUGGGUGAAAACCAAUUGGCAAGUAAAUGGUAGGGAUGUAUGGGGAAAAACACACUGGGAAAAGACUUAUUGAUAUAGCUCAAUCUAAGAACAUAUCCAUAGGACAUGUAUCUGCCCACCAAAAACCUAAAAAAACCUGAGGCAAAGUGGAAUCAGAUGGCUGAUCAUUUGGCUAAAAUAAAUGUAUUACAAAAUUCUGAGGCAGAAUGGCUAGGUAAAUGGCUACACAAAUAGCUAGGACACACUGGGAGUUAUGAUUUAUUUCAACAGGCUGCAAGGAGAGGAUGGCCUGUGACAAAAGCUCUGGCAAAGCAAAUUGUAGACUCAUGCCAUUUUUGUCAAACAAUGGUACAGUACAUGUCAAAGGGACAAGUUUGCCAAUCUCAGGGAAGGUAAACUACUCUGGGAAGCCUGAUAAGUAGAUUGUAUUGGCCCCUUAAAGAGAACACCUGAAGGCUGGAAAUAUAUCCUCACAGGAGUAGAAAUAAUUAGUGGUAUAGGGAAUGUGCACCCCACCCAAGCUGCAACUGGUCUAUCGACUGUAGCUGGCUUAAACAGGUGGUUUGCCACUUUUCCCUUGCCCUGAGAAAUACAAUCUGAUAAUGGAUCACAUUUUAAGAAUAAAGAAGUGCAAACUUGGUGUGCUUCAAAUGGAGUACAAUGGACUUUCCACCUCCCUUAUCGACCUCAAAGCAAUGGAAUAGUAGAAAGGUAGAACGAACGGAUUACUAAAACAACAGCUACACAAGAGUGAAUCUAUGAAUACCUCUAAAUGGGGAUCCCAUUUGUGGAAAGUUGUAAGUCGGCUAAAUAAGCGACAAACUCCCAUGGGAAGUCCCAUAGAUAAGGGAUUCAUGUCAGUAGCUGCAUGAAUUCCUGUUAAAACAGAAGUAAAAUCCUAUCAAAAUCCUAGAGAUGAGGUUGUGGUUAAGCACCUAACUCGGGGAUCAAUCUGGGUGACUCUUUUACAAAGGAAAAGGAGUAUGGGAUGCUGUAGACAGUAAAGGGAGUAAGUUAACCAUAACUGAGGCUUGGAUUAUGUCCAAGACCUAGGUGUCUUCUCUUGCAGGAAAACGUGGUGUUACCUUGUCACCGUGGGAACACUGAUAACUGGAACGGACACCCAAAACCUUUCUCUAAUAGGUUCUGCCUUUUCACAUUGCCCAUAAAACAACUCGGGCAUUGAAGAUAAGUCAUGACCCAUCUUUAGAACUACAGUUACAGGAGAAAUACCAUCUGUAAUAGCACGAGGUCAAAGACUGAUAGUAGGCAAUAAUGUUACACUAACCCUAAGAUCUUUGAUUAAUCUAAAUUUAACUAUUUGUAAUAACACUGGAUGGGAAGCUGUGCAUGAUUUUAACAGUAAAGUAAACUGGGUACUAUGGACAUGCAAGGCAACUAAUCAUACAUUAGUGGCCCACAAGAAGUACACUCUAGGUGUAAACAAUGAGAACAACAUAAUAAUAUAUGGCAACUCUUCUGUAAACACCAGUAAUAACCAAUGGACAAGUCAAUGUAAAUGGACAAAAUUAAAAUACACAAUCAGGAACAAGUGGUAUCUUAUAAAACAUCCCAAACAACCUCUAAACAAAAGUACCCCCAUGUAAUGCAAUUGCAUGAUGGAUGAGAGCCUAUGAUUAUGGCUCCAAAAUUAAUGACAAUGAAUGUACAUUUGAACCUGACCAAUGCAUUAGUGCAUGGAAUAAGACUUGGGCCAAUUAUAGUAACCCUCUCUAUGACUGGUGGCUACAAAAUCAUAGACCAAUAAGACAUAGAACUAAAAGAGAUAUUAUUCAAACUCUGUUAGGUGGGAUUGGUAUGGGAACAGGAAUAUUGAAUUCAUUUGAUAUUGAAACCCAAGCAAAUAAAUUGUCAGUAUUGGGAGAAACCAAAGCUGGUGUAACCGGAAUGACUGCAAGCUGGCUAUCAACAGCUUUACAAACUUCAGUACAAAAUUGGCAAGGUACUUGGCACCUCUGGCAAUACACUAAUGUAUUGCUGUGGUCCCAAUUACUAACUACCAAAAAUAUAUCACAAGAAAUUGGCUCUGCUUUGUCAUGUAUUGUAUUUCAGUUAAUGAGUAUAUACCAAAUCAAUUGGAUUUGAGUAGCCAUUGAAAAUAGUCAAGGACAAACAUUGGAACGAUUGUUCCCUGACCUAGUGAAAGACAAAUUCAAAGGAGGAUGGCUUAGAACUAUUGAAGGCCCUUAUUAUAAUGCAGCUACAGAAGAACUAAUAUUCCAAUUGCUAGGGAUUGGACAGAUUAGGGACACUCACAAAAAUAAUACCUUCAUGCUGCUUUGCUGUCAUUCCUAAAGUCUUUAAUGAAAAUAUGUGGGUACCUACAGUGGCAGGAGAUCGUUUGCAUGGUAAUACUAACGACACUUAUGAAAUUAGUAAACAUUGCACCUACUGGCUAUCCAGUCGAGGAUGGACCUGCCCUACCAUGCCUAGAGCUCCAGAAUUAUGCAGUAUGAAACACUCAUCUGGUACCUGCAUCUGGCAACGUAUCUAUGGAAAGAGAAGAGAGCUGGCCAUUCAUGCAAUGAAUCUGUUAAGCUCACUGUGCAACACCAGUAAUCCUUAAAUGUUGGUCUGAGCCAAGGGGUGGAAUGUGACCGACCAAUAACCCCUACAAUGGAAGAAGGCUCAGAGGAGAAGGCUCAGAGGGCGAGGUGCCCCAUGAAGCUCAGGAAUAGUGUAGGAUAUGGCUUGUUAAUCCUUGCUGUUGCGCAGAAAACUGACUUUAUCUCAACACAAAGGGCACCAGAGGGUGACCUUUGUUUUAGAUAAGCAGCUGUAUCUGAGUGGAUCAACUGGUGUAAACAUUUCUUCCUGAGUUGAUCAGAAGAAUGUGGGUGUCUCCCUGAGAUAGCCAGACCAGCAUGGGGGAAGUGUAUACAUGGCUCAGCCCAACAUAGACUAUAAAACCUGAACAACUACCAAAGGAAUUUCAAAGAGAGCAACGGGCUUGAGCUGGCUUCAACCCGUGUGUUCCUUUGGGGCACCUGGGGACGCCCAGCGUUGUGACGGUGAGCAUGUUAUAGAGACCGGUAAUGGGGAUCACAUUGGUAUUGUGAUUGAACUGUAUAAGUAUACACUUGUGAUUUCAGUAUAUUGCUGUAUCUGUUAAAUCAAAAAUCCUGUGUAACAUUAAAUACCUCAAAGUAAACUUUUAUGUUAAACAUUA
Long non-coding RNA from Dromaius novaehollandiae (emu), 6328 nucleotides. RefSeq lists it as uncharacterized. The transcript is spliced from 2 exons. Lineage: Eukaryota; Metazoa; Chordata; Aves; Casuariiformes; Dromaiidae. The record is from RefSeq and is a predicted model, not a curated record.